Molecule: ribosomal RNA, 497 nt
Filed under: uncultured bacterium
Lineage: Bacteria
Description: bacterial SSU rRNA
Rfam family: Bacterial small subunit ribosomal RNA
Source: RNAcentral
GACGAACGCUGGCGGCGUGCCUAACACAUGCAAGUCGAGCGGUAUGGAGAAGCUUGCUUCUCCAGAGAGCGGCGGACUGGUGAGUAACACGUGGGUGACAUACCUUUUAGUUGGGGAUAGCUAUUAGAAAUAGUAGAUAAUACCGAAUGUGACCAUUACAGUUAGAGUGUAAUGAGGAAAGGAGCUAAGGCUCCGCUAAAAGAUUGGCCCGCGGCCCAUUAGCUAGUUGGUGAGGUAACGGCCCACCAAGGCGAUGAUGGGUAUCCGGCCUGAGAGGGUGAUCGGACACAUUGGGACUGAGAUACGGCCCAGACUCCUACGGGAGGCAGCAGCUAAGAAUAUUCCACAAUGGACGAAAGUCUGAUGGAGCGACGCCGCGUGGAUGACGAAGGCCGAAAGGUUGUAAAAUCCUUUUAAACUGGAAGAAUAAUCAUGGUAGGGAAUGACCGUGAGGUGACCGUACAGUUUGAAUAAGCAACGGCUAAUUACGUGCCAGC